GUGAAUCAUCGAAUCUUUGAACGCAUAUUGCGCCCUCUGGUAUUCCGGAGGGCAUGCCUGUCCGAGCGUCAUUUUUGCAUUCAAGCACGGCUUGUGUUGGGCUUUUUGUUCCUUAUGGGACAGGCCUGAAAUGCAGCGGCUGUACCUUAAUCUGGUGCCCGAGUGUAUGGGGCUUUGUCGCACGCUCAGGUGGCCUGGGUUGGUACUUGCCUUUGACCGGAUUUUUAAUCCACCAUUCCAGUUGGCCUCGGAUCAGGUAGGGAUACCCGCUGAACUUAAGCAUAUCAAUAAGCGGAGGA
This 299-nucleotide unclassified non-coding RNA is filed under the name Onygenales sp. Its description in RNAcentral is "partial contains 5.8S ribosomal RNA, internal transcribed spacer 2, and large subunit ribosomal RNA". The stretch from base 1 to 71 matches the Rfam family "5.8S ribosomal RNA", at positions 84 to 154 of the family's 154-position model. Lineage: Eukaryota; Fungi; Ascomycota; Eurotiomycetes; Onygenales. The record is from RNAcentral.